AUGCGCUUUAAAUCAGCAACCUCGCCCUUCGGCACAGCCAGUUUGCCACUCCAUUCAAUGGUCAUCUCCACCGCUUUGGCUCGACUUUGCUCCAUCUCCAACGGCAUCUCUCUCAACCAACACUGCAGGUUCUCGCAUUCCGCAACAACCCCCUUUCCGAUCUCAAGCUCAUCGUCCUUUAAGCAGAUUUGCUCUUCCAACUCGCUUUUGCU
RNAcentral lists this long non-coding RNA (212 nucleotides) under Nicotiana benthamiana. RNAcentral's name for it is "long non-coding RNA (NBEN_LNC008369)". The record is from RNAcentral. Lineage: Eukaryota; Viridiplantae; Streptophyta; Magnoliopsida; Solanales; Solanaceae.